CUGACAUUCCUAUUUGCCAUUGUCCCGAACUCAACCUUCUUCUUCCUCCUAAUCACAUCAAAAUCUCUGGAAAAGAAGAUUUUAUUUUCUAUUCCAAUCAUUUUGUUAUCAAAAUAUCACAAGCCCGAACUCAGAUCCACCUUCUUCCUUCCUUGUAAUCACAAUUUCUGUAAAAUUCACAAGCUUUCUUUUUUUUUUUUUUAAUAGCGAUUUAAUUUGUAUGAACUUAAACAAGAUCAACAACAAAUGCAAUCCAAAACCCUAAAUUUACCUCCAGCUCUUACCCUUUUCCCAUUCCUUAAACCCCCGUCCAGAACCCUGAUUUUCUACCAAAUCUUCGUCCUAGUCAUCACCUUCUUCGCGUACGCCUCCUUCCAUGCCUCUCGAAAGCCGCCCAGUAUCGUCAAGAGCAUUCUUGGACCAACUGUUCAGUUAAAUUCUUCGAUAAUUCAAUCCAAUUUAAGCUCUAUGGAUACUGGUUGGCCUCCAUUCAAUGGUCCGGAGGGAACUCAUCGCCUUGGGGAGAUUGAUCUUGCUUUUCUUUCAGCUUAUUCGAUCGGGAUGUAUUUUGCGGGACAUGUUGGUGAUAGGAUUGAUUUGAGAUUGUUUCUUGUUUUUGGUAUGGUAGGUAGUGGUCUUUUCACUAUCAUUUUUGGGUUAGGGUAUUGGUUUGAUAUACAUUCGUUAGGAUUUUUUGUGGGUAUACAGAUUUUGUGUGGAUUGUUUCAGUCUAUAGGAUGGCCUUGUGUGGUGGCAGUUGUUGGGAAUUGGUUUGGGAAAGCAAAGAGAGGGUUGAUGAUGGGCGUUUGGAAUUCGCAUACUUCAGUAGGAAACAUUAUGGGGUCGGUUGUGGCUUCUGGUGUUUUGGAGUUUGGGUGGGCUUGGUCAUUUGAGGUGCCUGGGAUUUGUGUGAUUUUAGUUGGGGUUUUGGUGCUUUUGUUUCUUGUUGUUAGUCCUGAAGAUAUUGGAUUUGAGCCUCCAGGGAUAGAGAUUGAGAUGGUUGUGGAGGUGGAAGGAGCGGAUAACCUAGAGAAAGAGGAAUCAGAAAAAAGCAGGGCUUCUUGGGAUGGAAAAUUCAGAUUCUUUGGCUGCCAUUGGAUUUUUGGCAGCUUGGAGACUACCUGGAGUGGCGCCAUUUGCUUUCUGCCUCUUCUUUUCGAAGCUAGUGGCUUACACCUUUUUAUAUUGGUUGCCCUUCUACAUUAGGCACACUGCUGUUGCAGGUGUGCAUUUGUCACACAAAACUGCUGGCAUUCUCUCUACUUUAUUUGACAUUGGCGGAGUCUUUGGCGGAAUUUCGGCUGGAUACGUAUCUGAUAUGAUUGAAGCUCGUGCAGUAACUUCAAUUGUAUUCUUGUUGUUAUCAAUUCCAGCCCUUAUUUUGUACCGACUUUAUGGGAGCCUGUCUAUGAUUAUGAACAUAGCUUUGAUGCUUCUUUCUGGUUUGCUUGUGAAUGGUCCCUACUAACUAAUCACCACUGAUCUUCGUACCCAGGACAUGAUCAAGGGAGGAAAAGCAAAGAAAAAGAUUGUUCAGCCUUUCAAUUUUAAUUCAUCUGUACUUCCAUUUACUUUAAAAAUGAAUGAAGCAAUUAUGUUUUAAGGGAUUUAUAUACGCAAACAAAACUCUAGAGUAAAGUGCUAGUGAAGCUAUUUACCAUUGUUGAUUAGUUGUACUCUACAGGGGAAAAAAUUGAGCAUUACUCUUGCAACAGACGAUUGAUACUGUCAAGACCGGACCUUUCAACUGAUACCCUUGUCCUCUCUACAUGCGCUAGCGGCGGUGGCUCCAAGUGAAAGCUUAUCACAACAACUGUCAAAUUGUCUGUCGCCCCGCGUUUUGUUGCUUCCUCUACUAUUUCUUUACAACACAAUUUCACAUCAUUGUGCUCUCGAAGUCUUCUCCGAGCAAAGGAAACUGAAUUUUCGCUGGAAAACACAUCCCAUAUUCCAUCACUUCCGAUGAUCAAAAACUCGUCAUCCUUGGUUAGUGUAACCAAUUUAAGUUCUGGUUCAGCACUCAAGGGACCACCUCUAUCGCUCUUCACCUUCAUCCCUUCGAGGUGCCAGUCACCUAAUGCCCGACUAACACCUAACUGGCCAUUCAGAUAACCAUCUUCAACAUAUCCCCCCAGGGACUCAAUCCGGGUCCUUUCAUUAACACAGCAAGGCCUAUGGUCCUCUGACAUUUCUAUAGCUGUUCCACGCCGUGACAAUACAGCCCGGCAGUCACCAGCAUUUGCCACAAGCAAAGAACUCCCAAAUAUCAGUGCAGUGAUUGCAGUUGUGCCAGAAGAGAGGGAAGACUCAAGGGAGCAAGUCUCCGCAAAAGCUGUAUCAGUCUCAAUGAAUGACCUUGCGACCACUUUCUCAAGUUCUAAUGCGAAAUCUGCAUCCUCAACAAUAACUCUUGGCAAAUGAUCCCGGACAAAAUGAGCUGCACUCUUUCCCCCAUGCCCAUCAAAUACACCAUAGAAAGAAACAGAUUCCUCCCUAAGUAAAUUGUAACCAAAUUUCUUUGCCAAGUCACUAAUGCAAAUGUGUGUGUCCUCCAUAUAAAGCCGACCACCAAUGUCAGACCAUUCUCCUGACCGAAGGACAGGAAUAAAAUUUGUUGCAAGAUUCUGUUUCCUCUCCAGAGUCACUCGAUCCUCACAGAUGCUUUCUAGAGGAAAAGAGCUACAGACACUGAUCCCAUCACUGGAACUAAUCAAGGAAGAGUCUUUGUCCCAAUUAUCCAUCUGGGCAUGCAAGACCUCACAAUGCAAAGGCCAAGACUGCUUCUUGUUGAUGUUGGUAUUGCCAAGGCUUUCCACUUCUUGGUUAACCUGCUCAGCAUCCUCAACACACAUGAUUAUGAUGUUGAUAAAUAAUAGGAAAGAAAAGGCAAAGGCUUUUAGACUCUUUAACAGCAACUCCUUAUUGUUUAUGGGAAUCCAAAGUGAGGAAACAAGGGGAAAAUAGAGGGGGGGAGAGAGAGAAUCAGAGAACAAUAGUGACUUGGAGAGAAGAUUCUGGGAAUAUAAUGGGGUAGAUGGUGUACAGAAGGUGUAGCACAAGAAGAAAGAAGAAGAGCCGCUAAAUUUCAGAUUUUUC
RNAcentral lists this unclassified non-coding RNA (3096 nucleotides) under Hevea brasiliensis (rubber tree). Lineage: Eukaryota; Viridiplantae; Streptophyta; Magnoliopsida; Malpighiales; Euphorbiaceae. The record is from RNAcentral.